RNAcentral lists this ribosomal RNA (495 nucleotides) under uncultured bacterium. RNAcentral's name for it is "partial 16S ribosomal RNA". It matches the Rfam family "Bacterial small subunit ribosomal RNA", at positions 28 to 507 of the family's 1533-position model. The record is from RNAcentral.
GACGAACGCUGGUGGCGUGCCUAAUACAUGCAAGUAGAACGCUGAAGGAGGAGCUUGCUUCUCUGGAUGAGUUGCGAACGGGUGAGUAACGCGUAGGUAACCUGCCUGGUAGCGGGGGAUAACUAUUGGAAACGAUAGCUAAUACCGCAUAAGAGUAGAUGUUGCAUGACAUUUGCUUAAAAGGUGCAAUUGCAUCACUACCAGAUGGACCUGCGUUGUAUUAGCUAGUUGGUGGGGUAACGGCUUACCAAGGCGACGAUACAUAGCCGACCUGAGAGGGUGAUCGGCCACACUGGGACUGAGACACGGCCCAGACUCCUACGGGAGGCAGCAGUAGGGAAUCUUCGGCAAUGGACGGAAGUCUGACCGAGCAACGCCGCGUGAGUGAAGAAGGUUUUCGGAUCGUAAAGCUCUGUUGUAAGAGAAGAACGAGUGUGAGAGUGGAAAGUUCACACUGUGACGGUAUCUUACCAGAAAGGGACGGCUAACUACGUG